This is a long non-coding RNA of Ochotona princeps (American pika), 265 nucleotides long. RefSeq lists it as uncharacterized. The transcript has 3 exons. Lineage: Eukaryota; Metazoa; Chordata; Mammalia; Lagomorpha; Ochotonidae. The record is from RefSeq and is a predicted model, not a curated record.
ACAGGGGUCCCAUCCUGGGGCCUGAGUGCUCACCCACACUCCUGCGCUGACCAGCGAUGGCAGGGCAUGGGUGCUGACCUUCUGUCGCUUCCCCCACAGCAUAGCUGAGAAGGGGCUGUCGUUGGGAGGAUCCGACGGAGGGGCAUCCAUCCUGGACCUGCACUCAGGGGCCCUGUCAGUCAGGAAGCACUUUGUGAACCUGUACAGAUACUUCGGGGAUAAAGUACAGACCGUCUUCUCGGAAGAGGACUUUCAGUUGUACCGG